UUUUAAGCAUAGGUAUGUCCCAUGCAAUAUCUGGGACAUACCUUUAUUAAAA
RNAcentral lists this microRNA precursor (52 nucleotides) under Equus caballus (horse). RNAcentral describes it as "mir-1302 microRNA precursor family". It matches the Rfam family "mir-1302 microRNA precursor family". Lineage: Eukaryota; Metazoa; Chordata; Mammalia; Perissodactyla; Equidae. The record is from Rfam by way of RNAcentral.